RNAcentral lists this ribosomal RNA (93 nucleotides) under Enterococcus faecalis. RNAcentral also lists the same sequence under 1 other name. Lineage: Bacteria; Bacillati; Bacillota; Bacilli; Lactobacillales; Enterococcaceae. The record is from RNAcentral.
UACACCUGUUCCCAUGCCGAACACAGAAGUUAAGCUUCUUAGCGCCGAUUGUAGUGAAGGGUUUCCCUUUGUGAGAGUAGGACGUCGCCACGC